RNAcentral lists this unclassified non-coding RNA (4932 nucleotides) under Leishmania donovani. Its description in RNAcentral is "gene:LdHU3.20.1540(CDS-product:cysteine_peptidase _Clan_CA_family_C2_putative)". The record is from RNAcentral. Lineage: Eukaryota; Euglenozoa; Kinetoplastea; Trypanosomatida; Trypanosomatidae.
AACCGGAAAGCGUGUACCUGAACUGGUCUUUUUUUUCUUGCAUCUGCAUCUCUUGUACGGUUCCUUUUCACGAAGAAGGAAGAGUCGUUCUCUCGCCUUCGUGUCUUCGCUUCUUCAUUUUCGGCAUCCUUUUUUUUUUUUUCUCACAUCACUCCUCACCGUCGACUACCUUUCCUCAGCAAAAGCCCGUCUCUGCCGCGCGUAUUUUUGUGGCCUCCGUAGUUUGUCUAGAAGCUGCUGCAGCGAUUUCAAACAGCGUUGUCUCCUUCAGCCCUUCUUGUUGGCUCGCUCAGGCGCAUCCUUUUGCAUCUCAAGAGUUUCCUUGUACAGAGAAGCAGCGGUGGCGAUGACGGACAUGAACGGCAAGGUAGACGAGUUCGAUGAGGGCUCCGUCGUACAAAAGAAGUACGGCCCCAACGACUACCGGUACGGCGAGCCGGUGUACAAGGGCGAUGCAACGCCGUGCUUCGAAGACGGCCUUCUCUUCCGCAUUGUGGAGAAAAGCAACAACCGCUGGUCCUUUUACAAUGACACCAUCCACACGCAGAUGAAUGUGCAGAUCGUGUUUGGCCGCAAUUCCUCCCUGCGUGCGCUGGAGAACACAGAAAUGGUGAAGCUGGAGAACGGAUCCUACCGCGCUACUGUGACGGUGUACCCGAUGGAGACGGAGCUCUUUGUGGAGGGCGAGGUAAACGGCUUCACUAGCAACAUUCGUGCUCUGCCGCUGACGGAGGACUACCUCAAGGACAUGGCUCGUCAGGAUUACGAGUUCAUCAAACAGGAAACGGCGACCUUGUACAACGCUGUGGACAAGAACGCUACGACUGAUGACAUGGUUCGCAAGUGCGUGCAGAGCAAAAUCAAGUUUGUCGACUUUGCCUUCCCGCCGGAGCAGAAGUCGCUGCAGAUCGGCUCUCUCAUGAAGCUGAAGGUGCUGGCGUGGGAGCGCCCGGGCAUGUUCCUUUCCGACGAGAACGCCCGGCAGGCGCGCCUGUUUCGCAACGGCGUCCACCCAUCCAACAUCGACGAGGGUGAUUUGGGUGACUCGUGGCUGACGGGCGCGAUGGCAGCGUUGUCUGAGUUCCCGGACAAGAUCCGUGAUAUCUUCCGCCACCCCGAGAGCGUGGAGCAGGGGCAGAAGGAGCGCGAGUGCGGCAUCUACCGUGUGACGCUGAACAAGAACGGCUGGUGGACGAGCUUGAUUGUCGACGACUACCUGCCGGUGGCCGGCGGCCGCCCAAAGUUUGCCCGCUCCAAGGGCGAUCCGGCCGAGCUGUGGCCCUCCAUUCUCCAGAAGGCGUACGCGAAGGUCUUUGGCGGGUACGGCUUCAUUGUCGCUGGAGACCCGCUGCACGCGCUGCAGGACAUGUCCGGAUUCCCGUGCUCCUCUUUUGAUAACGCGUUCGUGGAGAGCACUAUCAACGAGACGUAUGAGCUGUUCGCGCAUCUCAAGAACUACAGUGACCUGGGCUACCAGCUUGUGUUCACCACCCCGACCCGCGAAGCCAUCAUGACGGCUCGCGGCGCCAUCAGCUGCGGCUCCCCCGUGCAGGCGGAGCGUGCGUACGAGAGGUCCAGCCUGCUGCUGGGGCACACCUACUCCGUGAUUCGCGUGGGAUACUUCGCGGAGCACGACCUGCGCCUUCUGCAGCUGCGGAACCCGUGGUCGCAGGCCUCCUCGGACUGGAAUGGGCCUUGGAACAAGCGCGACGAGAACUGGAACAAGUACACGGAGGUGGCAGACUACUUCCACUUUGACAGCAGCGAUGACGGCACCUUCUUCAUGGAGUGGACCGACGUGCAGGACUACUUUGUCAGCUGCGGCGUGUGCUUCAUUCAGAGCCCCACGUACGACUACCGCAUCCGCGGCACCUUCUUCCAAAACGUGCCGACGACAUGCCUGGAGAUCUCCGUUACACGUCCGAUGCUGAUCAACAUUAUUCUCUCGCAGGAAGACAAGCGUGGCACCGACAAGAGCGAGAACGCGCCGAUCAUGAUUAGUGUGGCGCACGGCAUGGGGGCGAUGACGCCGAUGCGCGUGGACUUGAACAGCGGCUUCGACAACGACCACCCGUCGCCCGAGUAUGCAUUCCUGCAGAGUCGUGACGUGAGCAUGUUCUACGAAUUCAAGCCGGAGAACUCGCCGUACCUCGUGGUGCCGCGUGCCAUGAGCCAGUUCGCCAAGCUUCCCUUCACACUAGGCCUACUGUGCCCGUACGAGAUCGGCAAGGAGACGAGCGAGGUCCGCGUGGCCUUCCGCGCCCUCGCCCCGGAGAACCGCAUCUUCGACAACUUCCAGAAGUUCAACUGCGAGACCGUGGCCACAGAGACGGAGUUCCAGGCAAAAGGCCCGAAGCAGUUUUUCCCUGACAUCUACGUGGGUACCAUCAUCCAGACGUCUGACGACUAAAACGCACCUCGAACUAGUUGGUGGCUUUUUAUUCUUUCUGUCCUUCGCACCUGCAUGCGUUUUCGCAGACAUACGAAGAAGGGGUUGUUGUGGCGGCGGCGAUGGUCGAGGAUGACGAAGCUCAAGACUCAUCUCUUUUCCGUUCCGUAAGCCUUCGUUUCUUUUGUCUGCGGGCGCUUGCGCCAUCGUCCUGCCCCGCCCGCUCUGCCUCUCCCCAGAGUACUCCUCGAUCAUUGUCGGAGUCUUUUUUUGUCGUCUGCGUUGCGUUUGCAUCGCUGUUGCCUUUCGCAUGACCGAGAGCAAAGGGGAGCAUGCGAAGCUCGAAUGGUGCAUGGAGAGUCGUGCGCACCCGUCUCUCUUUUUUUAUCUCCGCCCCGCCCCCUCUUUUUUUUCCUGUACCAUAGUUCAUGUCCUUUUUUUCCCCCUUUUUUGCGUGUUUUCUCUCGGCCCUUGCCGUUCGUGCUCUGCCUUCUUUCCGUUAUAGCGAGGCUGUCGCCAUUUUCCCUGCAUGUGUGUCGUUGUCCUUGUUUGCUUUUCCUUGUGUGUUGGUAGCGCGUGUGCGCGGGUGCAUGCAUGUGCCGUUGGCGCUUCUGGCUGGCGUGGCGUUCGUUUCGCUGUACCAGGGAGGGACCAGAGGAAAAGAGCUUUCACUUUUUUUCCACUUGUCACCGCACCUGUCCAUGUCCUCCGGCCCAUCCUCUCUUCCUCCUACGUCGUUUUCGAUUCCCCCUUUCAGCGCUUCGCUUUUGUUGUUUCCUUUUCUGUGCCUCUUCAUCUUCGUUGUUGUGGUUGUUGUACUGCUGCGGGGGAAGUUGUGUGAUGUGUUUAUUCUUCCUCUUCACUUCUCUUAAAAAGAUGUCUUUGCAGUUCCUUCUUUCCCUCUCCGACCCACCUCACGCAAUGCAGCCUUGAAUGCGUGCGCAUAACUCACAACGAGAGUGUGUGUUGGGGGGGGGGGACGGUGACCCUCGCUUUUUUCUCAGCGAAACCAAGAUUGGCUCCUGAUAUGUGUAUAUAUAUAUGUGUGUGUGUGCGUUCCUACGCCUUCCUCUUGUAUGUUGCGUCGUGUCCCCAGCUUUGCUAAUCAUCGUUUUUAUCACCUCCCCUUGCCAUCGCAUUUCGUUUCCUUCUCGCGCCGUUUACCGUCUCUAUUCGCUUCUCAUCUCCCGCUGUUUUUUUUUUCUCACUUGCCUCUGUGCCAGUUUCGAUUUCUGGUUUCUUACCUUAUUUUUUGUUGGUCUUUUGUCCAUUUAUGUGUCUUGCCUGGCUUUCCCACGUCCUCAUGUUGUCAGGUGUUGAUUAUGCAUGUCUAUGUGUGAAGCAUCACCUCUUUUUUCUUUUUGUGUACACGGUCAUCGCAUUUUUUUCCUUCGUUGCUGUGUUUCACUCGCUGCUUGCGGUUUCUUGUCUCCCUAGUCUUCCCUCUAAAUAUCCCUUCUCUCUCGCUGCGGCAGAUGCGCGCCAGUGCCUUGCACCCCCUUGGCUUGCGCUGCGCUCUUUCUGUUUUGGCGACGUCCUGAGGGCGGCGGCGGCGGCAGGUGUGGACCCCUCUGAGGAGAGAUCCACUCGAAGCCUCGAGCGAUCAAAGCAGCGGAUGGACUGACUUGUGCCCGGUGCGUUGAUGUCUCGCCUGCUUUAGCGCUUUGUCGACGUCCAUGGCAGAGAUCCACAUGAGGCACAGAGAGAGAGGAGAGGGUGGUGGUGGUGGUGGUGGGGGGGCGCAUUUGUGGGGCGGUCAGGGAAAAGAGGGUGGAGGGGGGAGGGAAGGCCCGAAAGGUCGGCCAGCGAAGGAGCUUUCACACCCUCGUUUUCUCUGCGUUUUUCCCUUUGCUGAUUCUUUCCUUUGCGCUUCUCUUGUUCUCAUGCGUGUGCUCAUGCCCAUCUUCAGAGAUUAUAUAUAUAUGUGUGUGUGUGUGUGUCUGUGCAUCUACUAUGUGGCAUCCUGCUGGAUUGUGCGCUCGCUCUUUUCCAUGUUUCUGUUCAUCGUGAAUAUGCGCUCGCCAUAAGCCCCUCUCUCCCUCACACUCACUCCUCUCUGUUGGUACGCUUUACUGUCUUUGCUUUCUCAUGUGACUCUCUCUCUCGUCUCCGACGAUUUUUUUUUCUUGAAGGUGAAAGUGAUGCUGUAAAUGGCGCUACUGUUUUUAUUUCUUCUCCCUCUUUCGCUGUGUUCCGAGCUCUUCUCAUGAGGAGGCGCAGCCACCCCAUUUCUUUCGUCUCUUUGUGAUUUUCCCCUCUUUCUGCCCGUCUGUGCAUGCUUCUACGCGUGUGUGGGUGCGGAUUAGUAUGUAUUGGCACUUCUUUCUCCUACGUUUUCCGUGGAUGUCUCGCUCUUUUCCCUUAUACAUAUGCGUGCCCCUCUCACACAAGGCAAGCGCCUGUUUUCUCGUGCGGCACGGCUGCCGCUCUGCAUCUCCAUCUGUGAUUUCAGCUUCUCCCGUUUUCUCUGUUGGAUUCGCUGUUCCUCCCUCUUUCAAGCGCUCUAUUCCCUUCGUUUGAGAGCAGUGUAACACUAAGAGAAG